CCCUGUCGGGUUUUACCUCCCCCCGGGAGAGCUCAGCCCUGGAUCCCGGCGGGCGGCGGAGCCUCUCUGGAGCCCGGACGGGACAGCCCACCAGGGUCUGCUUCUGUGAGGGGCCGAGGCGUCAUUCCGCGAAGGCUCUUCAUUCGAUGUACAAAAACCACAAGAUUAUCUAAAUAGAUGCAGAAAAGGCCUUCGAUAAAAAUCCUCAUUCCUUCAUGUUAAAAACUCUCAAUAAACUAGGUAUUGAAGGAACAUACCUCAAAAUAAUAAGAGCCAUUUAUGACAAACUCACAGCCAGUGUCCUUACUGAAUGGGCAAAAGCUGAAAGCAUUCCCCUUGAAAACCAGCACAAGACAAGUUUGCCCUCUCUCCCAACCCCUAUUCAAUAUAGUAUUGGAAGUUAUGGCCACGGCAAUCGGGCAAGAGAAAAAAAUGAAGAGUAUUUAAAUGGGAAAAGAGGAAGUCAAACUAUCUUUUUUUGCAGGUGACAUAAUCCUAUAUCUAGAAAACCCAUUGUCUCAACCCAAAAGCUUCUUAAGCUGAUAAGCAACUUCAGCAAAGUCUCAGGAUAAAAAAUCAAAGUGCAAAAAUUGCUAUACACCAACAACAGGCAAGCCAAGAGCCAAAUCAUGAAUGAGCUUUGAUUCACAAUUGCUACAAAAAGAACAAAAUACCUAGGAAUACAGCUAACAAGGGAA
Molecule: long non-coding RNA, 698 nt
Filed under: Homo sapiens (human)
Lineage: Eukaryota; Metazoa; Chordata; Mammalia; Primates; Hominidae
Description: EPM2A divergent transcript
Source: RNAcentral